CCUACGGGCGGCAGCAGUGGGGAAUAUUGCACAAUGGGGGGAACCCUGAUGCAGCAAUGCCGCGUGGGUGAAGAAGAACUACGGUGCGUAAAGCCCUGUCAGCAGGGAAGAAAAUGACAGUACCUGGACAAGAAGCCACGGCUAACGACGUGCCAGCAGCCGCGGUAAUACGUAGGGGGCAAGCGUUAUCCGGAUCUACUGGGGGUAAAGGGAGCGGAGGCGGCGGGGGAAGGCAGCUGUGAACACCCGGGGCCCAACCCCGGGAGGGCAUUUGAAACUGCCAUGCUGGAGUGCCGGAGAGGUAAGCGGCAUUCCUAGUGUAGCGGUGAAAUGCGUAGAUAUUAGGAGGAACCCCAGUGGCGAAGGCGGCUUACUGGACCGUAACUGACGCUGAGGCUCG
This 400-nucleotide ribosomal RNA is filed under the name uncultured bacterium. Its description in RNAcentral is "partial 16S ribosomal RNA". It matches the Rfam family "Bacterial small subunit ribosomal RNA", at positions 338 to 755 of the family's 1533-position model. The record is from RNAcentral.